Molecule: ribosomal RNA, 499 nt
Filed under: Fusarium incarnatum
Lineage: Eukaryota; Fungi; Ascomycota; Sordariomycetes; Hypocreales; Nectriaceae
Description: eukaryotic LSU rRNA
Rfam family: 5.8S ribosomal RNA (bases 142-295)
Source: RNAcentral
GGAGUUCACUCCAACCCCUGUGACAUACCUAUACGUUGCCUCGGCGGAUCAGCCCGCGCCCCGUAAAACGGGACGGCCCGCCCGAGGACCCUAAACUCUGUUUUUAGUGGAACUUCUGAGUAAAACAAACAAAUAAAUCAAAACUUUCAACAACGGAUCUCUUGGUUCUGGCAUCGAUGAAGAACGCAGCAAAAUGCGAUAAGUAAUGUGAAUUGCAGAAUUCAGUGAAUCAUCGAAUCUUUGAACGCACAUUGCGCCCGCCAGUAUUCUGGCGGGCAUGCCUGUUCGAGCGUCAUUUCAACCCUCAAGCUCAGCUUGGUGUUGGGACUCGCGGUAACCCGCGUUCCCCAAAUCGAUUGGCGGUCACGUCGAGCUUCCAUAGCGUAGUAAUCAUACACCUCGUUACUGGUAAUCGUCGCGGCCACGCCGUAAAACCCCAACUUCUGAAUGUUGACCUCGGAUCAGGUAGGAAUACCCGCUGAACUUAAGCAUAUCAAAA